GCCAGGCGUGGUGGCACAUGCCUGAAGUCCUAGCUACUCCAGAGGCUGAGGUGGGAGGAUCACUUGAGCCCAGGAGUUCUGGGCUGCAGUGCGCUAUGCCAAUCAGGUGUCCACACUAAGUUCGGCAUCAAUAUGGUUACCUCCUGGGUGCGGGGGACCAUCAGGUUGUCUAAGUAGGGGUGAACCGGCCCAGGUUGGAAACAGAGCAGGUCAAAGCUCCCACGCUGAUCAGUAGUGGGAUCGUGCCUGUGAAUAGCCACUGCACUCCAGCCUGGGCAACAUAGCGAGACCCUAUCUCU
RNAcentral lists this signal recognition particle RNA (299 nucleotides) under Cebus imitator (Panamanian white-faced capuchin). Its description in RNAcentral is "Metazoan signal recognition particle RNA (ENSCCAG00000014180.1)". It matches the Rfam family "Metazoan signal recognition particle RNA". From Rfam's summary of the family: The signal recognition particle (SRP) is a universally conserved ribonucleoprotein. Lineage: Eukaryota; Metazoa; Chordata; Mammalia; Primates; Cebidae. The record is from RNAcentral.